ACAAACCCUUAUGACUGACGGAUUAGGCUGCAUCCGAGUUUUCGGAGCAGACCGAAGUGGAGCACCACAUGGAGUAAGGGCAUAUCCCCAUUUCCUGCCGACCGUCUGGGCUCACUUU
Firmicutes bacterium CAG:110 is the source of this 118-nucleotide regulatory RNA element. It matches the Rfam family "ZMP/ZTP riboswitch aptamer (pfl RNA motif)". From Rfam's summary of the family: Previously known as pfl RNA. ZMP is also known as AICAR. Lineage: Bacteria; Bacillati; Bacillota. The record is from Rfam.